Molecule: ribosomal RNA, 254 nt
Filed under: uncultured bacterium
Lineage: Bacteria
Description: partial 16S ribosomal RNA
Rfam family: Bacterial small subunit ribosomal RNA
Source: RNAcentral
UACGGGGGGAGCAAGCGUUGUUCGGAUUUACUGGGCGUAAAGGGCGCGUAGGCGGUCGUGACAAGUCACUUGUGAAAUCUCCGGGCUUAACUCGGAACGGUCAAGUGAUACUGUCGGACUAGAGUACAGAAGGGGCAACUGGAAUUCUCGGUGUAGCGGUGAAAUGCGCAGAUAUUGGGAAGAACACCAGUGGCGAAGGCGGUUCUCUGGGACGGUACUGACGCUGAGACGCGAAAGCGUGGGGAGCGAACAGG